CAGCCGUUGCUGGCUUGUGCGUUGUCUAGCGCCUGGCCGCAACGAGUAGGAGGGUCGUGGCGGUUGCGUCGAAGGCUUUGGGCGUAGGCCCAGCUGGAGCUUCCGUCAGUGCAGAUCUCGGUGGUAGUAGCAAAUAUUUAAGUUCGAUCCUUGAAGACUGAAGUGGAGAAGGGUUCCACGUGAACAGUAGUUGAAUGUGGGUCAGUCGAUCCUAAGAUACUGGCUUAUGCCUUGUAUCACUGAGAGGGAAAAGUUUCUUUUCUCUCGGAUAUCAAAAGGGAAUAGGGUUAAUAUUCCCUAACGCAGACACAGAGAUUGCGGCUCUUUGAGUCGCUUGCGCGGUAACGCAUUCGAACUUGGUUACGUCGCUCAGAGACCGAGCUAGAGUUCUCUUCUCUAGUUAAGGAACGGACUCCCUGGAAUCGGUUCAGCCGUAGAUAGGGACGUUGUUUCCGUAAAGCAUCGCGGUUUCUGUGAUGUCUCGUGUUCUUUGGACGGCCCUUGAAAAACCAAGGAAGGCUAUCAAUCUGUGCUGCAUCGUACCG
RNAcentral lists this ribosomal RNA (545 nucleotides) under Uncinaria lucasi. RNAcentral's name for it is "eukaryotic LSU rRNA". It matches the Rfam family "Eukaryotic large subunit ribosomal RNA", at positions 1349 to 1849 of the family's 3401-position model. The record is from RNAcentral. Lineage: Eukaryota; Metazoa; Nematoda; Chromadorea; Rhabditida; Ancylostomatidae.